Non-coding RNA from Arthromyces matolae, 81 nucleotides. The record is from the annotation of a GenBank genome assembly. NCBI's taxonomy places the organism in Eukaryota, Fungi, Basidiomycota, Agaricomycetes, Agaricales, Lyophyllaceae.
UCGGAUAUGGUGUAACGGCUAACAUUGCCGCCUCUCAUCACUGCGUCGCGGCAGCUCGGGGUUCGAUUCCCCGUAUCCGAA